Molecule: long non-coding RNA, 519 nt
Organism: Leptidea sinapis
Lineage: Eukaryota; Metazoa; Arthropoda; Insecta; Lepidoptera; Pieridae
Exons: 3
Source: RefSeq, a predicted model, not a curated record
AAAAUGAUGAGGAAUGAAUUUUAAUAUUUCGACAGACUGAUAACUGUUUAUUUUUAUUUUAAAGGAUUUAUUUACUCUUAUUAUAUAUGUUAUGAUUUUUAAUUUGUUUGUACAAUCGACGUAUUUUAUAUGUCUAUAGAGUUGAACACGCUGGGGAAUAUUUGGAGAGAAAAUGUUCGCAUUGUUGGCAACUCUCGGAAUUAUAUCAGCAAUAUCGAUGACACAGAGUGUUGCCAAGCUGAGAAUACCCAAGGGAGAUGAGUUGUUUGUGCCAGUGGGGUAUAAUGGAUUGGAUCUGCUUGUAGUAAAGUGUAUGCAAUAUAUGCCACAAUUGAUCAGCAAAACUGCCAUAUAUCAACAGUAUAGGAGAUCUUCAAACCAUCCGCACGUUGAAGCUGGACCGGGCUUCUUCAAAACGGAUCCGGUGGAAUUCAAUCCCGAACAACUCGCCAAGGAGUUUAAAAAGUUAUUUGCUCUAAAGAAAAAGAUGGAAGAGAAAAAUGAGCCAUUAAAUCCUGA